This 15010-nucleotide long non-coding RNA is filed under the name Nicotiana benthamiana. RNAcentral describes it as "long non-coding RNA (NBEN_LNC004358)". The record is from RNAcentral. Lineage: Eukaryota; Viridiplantae; Streptophyta; Magnoliopsida; Solanales; Solanaceae.
GAGUAGAAGACUUAAAAGAAUCUAGGUGUUUUAAUACGGCCAGGAGUCUUAAACAUAAAUGGUUCACUUGUAAUGGAUAAGUUCACAAAAACUUUGGUAUUUGGUAGGACUUUGCUCAUGAUCCAAAUAUAGUUAUUUCAAAUUAUGCAGAGUGUAGAAAACAUACCGUGUUAUCUUGAUGAACCAAGUUCUUCAUUGAUAAUUCUCUUGUGUAAGUCUAAAUUUUCCAAAAUAGAGAAAAUAUUAUUAUUGAUCCAAUUUAACACAUGGCAUAAGAGUAUACUAUGGAAAGUAUGAGACUGAGCAAGAUUUAAUGUAAUUAUACACAAUUUAUUGACAUUCUAACUAAUUUUUUUUAAUUUCUUUCGUUUAACCUUGAAUUGGUCCUUUUAGGUGAUCUUAAUCAUCCCUAAUUUCAACAUGCUCCUCUCAAAGUGAUCUCCACUUAACGAUUUUGUGAAGUGUUAGCAAUUUGCUUGUCAGAAGCACAAAAGUCCACAGUGAUUAAGCCUUUCCCAUUGUUGUCCCUAAAAUAAUUGUGUCUAACAUGUAUGUGCUUAGCUCUCAUAUGAUGAACCAAUUUCUUUGUCAUGCUAAUAGAACUAGUGUUAUUACAAAAAAUAGGGAUGCAACCAACACCAAUUCCAAAAUUCAUGAACUUUUGUUUGAUCCACAACAAUUGGGCACAUUAGGAAUCAGUAACAAUAUACCCAACUUCAGCAGUGGGUAAGGCCACCGAAUUUUGCUUUUUAGUAGCCUAUGACACAAGACAUGAGCCAAGAAAGUGUGGCAUACUUGAUGUGCUCUUCCUAUCCACAAGGAAACCUACAUAAUCUGCGCCAGCAUAUCCUACUAGGUUAAAAUUACUACCUUUUAGACACCAAAGUCAAAGGUCAGUGGUGCCUUUCAAGUAUCUCAAUAUUCUCUUGACAUCGGUCAAGUUGGAUUCAUUUGGAUUUACUUGAAAUCGAGCAUAAAGCCCUAAACUGAAAAAAAUAUUAGGUUUGCUAGCAGUAAGAUACAAAAGAGAACUAAUCAUUCCCCUAUACAACUUCUGAUCAACAGAUGAACCGGGAUCAUCUAUAUCCAAUUUUUUUGGAUGUUAUAAUAGGAGUGACAAUUUCUUUGGAUGUUACUUUCUUGUUUUGUUAUUGAGGAAUAGGUUCAUGGACAGGUUCCAUCGAGGUUUGAGGAUCAGUCCCUCUCUAGUAGGUUCCCCCUGUCAUAUUGCCCCGGGUGGAAGGACAUGUUCCAUCACCUGUUCCUUCUUGUGAUACAUCUUCAGGAUGGACUCCAGUUUAACCAUUUGAAUUUCUUAUCAGCCCAAUAUCUUCAUUACCUAGUUCCUGCCCUAUAGAGAGAAUGUUAGUUUUUUUAAAACAAUAACAUAGACAUUUAUUUUAUACAUACAUAGUUCUUUUAUUGUAUAUCUUAUAACCUUUACUAUGUGAAAAAAUUCCAAGAAUACUCCCUCACUUCUGGGAUCAUACUUACUAAGAGAGUCUUUUUCAUUAUUGUGCACAAAGCACUUGCAUCUAAAUGCCUUUAGAUGGGAUAGAUUUAGCUUUCUCCCCUUGAGUGACUCAUAUGGAAUCUCUUAACAAGAGGUUUAGUCAUGCAACAAUUUAUGAUGUAGCAUGCAAAAAUUAAGCAAGCUUAGCAUUUUAAAAUUCAGUUCCAUGAUCAGACCUAAUUGAUGCAAGUUGAUUACCAGGUUAUUUAUGAGUUUUCUAACAAAAGAAGUAAACAUGUCAAAUUCUUCAUCUUUGGAUAUGAAAAAUAACGUCCAAGUAAACCUAGAGUAAUCAUUAACAAACACCAUCACAUAUCUUUUACCACAUCUACUUAAUGUUCUCAUUGAACCACAAAGAUCCAUACGGACAAGUCUAUCGUUCUGGUGGUUCUUACCACUUUCUUGCAUGUAAAAGAGGAUCUUACAUGUUUCCCCCUUGCACAAGCCUUACAAACUUUGUCUUCCUUGAACUUGAUGUUAGGAAGCCAUAUCACCAGGUCCUUGGAGACUAAUUUAUUGAGUUGACUUAGACUUUCAUGUCCAAGUCUCUUGUGCCAAAUGACAGAAUCAUUGUCCAACACAUUUAAGUAAGUGAGUUCAUUUUCCGAAGGUGUGGACAAAUCUAUGAUGUAUAUAUUGUAUACUCUUUUUCCCUACAAAACAAUCUUGUCACUGGUAAGAUAAAUCACAAAACAUUUGGUAGAGGUGAAUACUACCAAGGUAUCUCCAUCAUAUAAUUGUGAUACACUGAUUAGACUGUACUUAGGUCAUCAAUCAAGUAUACAUUCUCAAUCGAGUGAUAAUCCGUCUUACCUACCUUUUCAACCCCAAUGAUCUCAAUUUUAUUCCCAUUUCCAAAGGAGACAUUACCUCUUUUGAGGUCCUCAAGUGAAAGGAACUGGUUAUUGCUUCCUGUCAUAUGCUAUGAGCAGCCACUAUCCAUGUAUCAUAUUUUGCUGCUCCCCUUCACGUGGCUCCGUAAAAGGAAAUCAAGGCUUAGUCUUAGGAACCCAAACUAGUUUGGGUCCAUUUCUGUAGGCGAAAGGGUGAAUCAGAUUCUUUUUAGCCCAACCUUGUAGUCUAUUUUUCCGAAGAACAAACUCUUUAUUCUUUUGACUAGCCUUUUCUUUUGCAAUUCAUUCACUUUUAUAGUUAACAGUUUUACCACAGUGUGUACAAAUUAUGUUCUCACAAAGUGUGAAGUACUUGCUUUUUGGAUCCCAUUUAGGUAUAGGGAUCCUGUAGCCAAGUCGUCUCUCAUUGCUACUAUGGUGUUCAUGUAGCCAUGAAAGUCCAUUGGAGGACCUAUUUCAUUUACAGGUUCUGACUAGCUCGUGCUUAACCUUGUUUAGAUCCUCCUUAAGGACUCUUAUAUGCUCAUCUCUUUUGUACAACUCGUCUUUUAUUUUUCCUAGCUUUUCUUCAAAUGUGUUUUGUGUCUAUCAAUUUCCAUUUUACCUAUUCCUAAUUUUAGUUUUAGACUUUUAGAUCUUAGCUCUAGGAUAAUGGUGUCAAGCUCAAGAACCUGGUUCUUUAACUAAGUAUUUUUACUUUCACUUUCACUAGCCUUAAGUUCCAGAUUUUUUCACUUAGCUUUCAAAAUCACACACUCCUUAGAUAGAUGUUCCAUUUCAUUAUUCAAAUCCUCAAGUUCGUCAAUGAAAUCCAGGAAUAACUCAGAUAGCCUUUCUCUAGACAAAAAUUUAAUUGUGUCUUUGAGAUGAAUUAUACUUACCUCAAAUUCCUCAUCGGAUUCUCCAAUAUCCAUAAGUGCUUUUUCAUCUCCAUAUUCACCCUCUAAGUCCUAAUCUGAUCUUUCUCCCCAGGAAUCAACCAUAGCCUUUGUUGAUCCUUUGUUGUUCUUGGGUUAAAACUGUUACUUCUUCCCGUUCAUUCGUUCAGCUCUUUCUUUCUUCCAUUCAAUUUCCCAUUGAGGGUAGUUUUUGAUGUGGUGAUACAUCUUCCCACACUUUUAAUGCCCCUCAUUGGUUUGUGUUUGAGGAACUCUUGGUUUUCAAUAGCUUCCACUUCUUGAAGGACCAUUUCCUCUCAUUAGGUACUUCCAAGAUAGUUAAGUUCAUUUGUCAGUGUAGAGAACCUUGUAUACAUCUCUUGGAUGGUUUCUCCUUCCUUCAUGGUGAAAUUCUCAUAUUAAGAAUGCAGCAGUGUUCCUCCGGAUCUCUUCACUUGAGGUAUUCCUUCAUGCGCCACUUGCAAAGUAUCCAAGAUUUCCUUAGAAGCAGUACAACUUUGAAUUUUAUUAUACUCGCCUGGACCAAGUCCACACACAAGUCAUUUCUUGGCCUUACCAUUCUUUUUCCAUUUCCUCAAUCCACUGAUAGGCCUCCGCUCUUUAAUGUCCAGUACUACUCUUAGUGGAAAAUACGUCAAUACCACACAAGAGGGGGGUGAUUUGUGUGGUGUCCAAUUUUUCGCUUAAUCUGCUUAUGGAAGGACCUGGUUCUUCUAUGUGUUCUAACUACGACUGUUGCAGAAUAAUAAGUAUAGAAAUAAAGAACAAAAAGAUUUUUACGUGGAAAACAUCUGGGUCAAAAGGUAAAAAAUCACAACCUACUACUCGGUAGGAUUUUCUCCAACACUUCACUAAAUCAUUGAGCCAAAACAAUAUUUGGAAAACUCAUUGUAAACCUAAGGAUUACCUCUAAUCCCGUUGUAGCAACCAGCCUCUAACUAUUGCGACAACUUCAAUUUACUCUAACUUGAAUACUCAAAGUAGCUAUUACAACUGCUUCUAGAUAAAGUUGAAAGAUAUAAUAUGAAAAUCCCUACUACAAUUGAACUAGAAAUAAAGAAAGACACAUAAAACUCUUUAUGGAUCUGGUUCUUCAAUCGGUAUCAUGUAGCUUCAUGUUUGCAAACUUGAAUCAUACAAAAAUUGCUUGCACAAAACCUUGCUAAUUUGCUCUCAAUUCAUGUUUAACUUCUGCAUUUUUGUGCAACACUUGUAUUGGGAGAACAUCUUGCAAUUUGUAGAGUUAGUAAAUGUAGAAAUAACUAGAGUUCUGAUGCAACUCUUCCUUGGUGGAAGAGUUCUAUUUGAUUUCAACUUCUAGCUUUUUCCCUAUAUUGAAUAGUGUUCUCUUUGAUUCUUAUCAAUUAUGCAACAUUUUCAAUCAGGAGAUAUUAAAUACACCAAGUUAAACUUAUCUCUUUCACUUGUAAUCCACAUGCUCGAAUCUACCCGUUUUGUGCACCUAAUGGAUGGACCUAGUUCAUCCUGAGUUCAUUUGACAGUCUUCAAUACGAACCUUUACUUGUCCCAACAAACUCGUAUCAGAAUGGGUUAUUAGAUUUAUUGAGUUUUUAGGACUCCGGGCACGUGCGCCCGAGGGAAAUUUCGUCAACAUUUCGAGCGAAGUUAUAAAUUUAUCUAAAUUGAAUUGUGGUGAGUAUAAGAGAAUAUAUUUAUGGAUUUUCUCAUUUUUCGGCUAGUUUUAGAGCGUUGUGCAUUGAUCUGAGUCGUCGGAAGGGCUUGGAAGCCGGUUAUAGAACUUCAAAAUGAGGUAAGUAUCCUUUCUAACCUUGUAAGAGGGAAUUAUCCCUAUAGGUGAACUAAUUUUAUAAUGUUCUUCUAAUUAUAGGGUGCUACAUACGCACGAGGUGACGAGAGUCCGUACGUAGCUACUAGCUAUGCCUAUGUACGGGUAGUUUUAGGCUUACAUCAUGCUUUAUUGAUAUUUUUGUUAAUUUAUGUUAUCGUUGUCUUGAGAAGAAACAAGAUUAGGGUUGCAUAAUAAUUGUGUUGAAAGGAGUUUGAAUUGAGGAAUUUAAGAUUUUAAGGGUUUCCAUGAAACUUCGUAUUUUGAAAUAAUUGAGAAAUACUAUAAUGACUUAUGAAACCUAUGUGUAACCGCAUCACAUGUGCACAUCGCGAGCGGGGAAAAUCUCUUUAAAAUCUUCACGUUUAUUAUCCUUAUUUUGAAAUGGAAUCAAUAAAAAGGAUAUCCAUUAAUCAAUAAAUUAUAUUUGACCGCAUCGCACCUAUGGGAUCGAGCAAUUCGCCUCGGCAGGAUUUAUGUACCACACUCUCAAAGGAGCGGGUCGUUCGCCUCGACACUUCAAUAGAUGCUAUAGUUCAUGUUGUUCGACCCUCGACAAUGCACAAUCUACUUUUAUGUUGUAUCGGGCCAUACGCCUCGGUAAUCUUAUAUACAUACAUCAUUUUUAUAGAAUUUGUGCAUAAUAUUUGGCUAGAAUCAGGUGUAUCUUAGGGUUUUUUCAUGAUUUGGUUUAUGACAAACUCUUGAUGAUAUCCACUAUAUCUAUAAUAUGCUCCGGUUAUGGAGGGAACUUGCUAGUUGAGAGAUUGAGAAAAAAAUUGUAAAGAAGAGCAUUGUACUACGUAUUUAAUACAUGUUUAUCUCAUAUAUUUACUAUGUGUUAUACUUAUUCACUUCUUUACUGUAUUUGACAUUACUAGACCACUAGUAAUUGUCGAAGUCAACCUCUUGUCACUACUUCUUCGAGGUUAGAUUGGAAACUUAAUGGGUACGCAUUGCUUUUGUACUCAUACUAUACUUCAUGUGCAUUUUUAUUACACUGGUACAUAUAUGCCUAGUGGCCUCAUUGGGUGCAUCAUCAUGGUGGAUACGGAAACUAAGGUGAGUUGCAACUCUAGAUACGACCCACAACCAGCAGAGUCUCCUUCGGAGUAUUAUAUUUUCCUUUCAGUCCAAUUUGUAUUUCGGAUAGUUACUGUAUUACAUAUUAAAUAUCUAGAAAUUUCUCAUGCACUUGCGACUCCGGGUUCUGUGGUGACUAUGGAGUUUCUCAGUAUUUAAAUUGGUUAAAGACAUCAUUAUUUACUCAGUGAAGUUCAUUAUUUAUUGUGUAAUGUAAGGAAAAGAAACGAUUUCAAAAAUACUGAUAUGCGAAUUUUGAUAUCUUCUUGGUAUUGGCUUGCCUGACAGUGGUGUCCGAUGCCAUCGCGACCUUUAAUGGAUUUUGGGUCGUGACAAUAUGGUAUCAAAGCACUUGGUUCGAUUGCAUCUCAUGAGUCAUGAGCGAGUCUAGUAGAGUCUUGUUGAUCGGUAUGGAGACGUCUGUACUUAUCUUUGAGAGGCUACAGGGCUGUUAGGAGCAAUUCCCUUCUUGAUUUCUCAUCGUGCGAUUUGAUUCCCUUAAGGCAUAUGCCUUCAUUUCCUUCCCAUUCAAUCUUAUGUGACGUGAAGUGAUGGUUCUAAAUCAGGAAUCAAGGAAUUAAAAUGGUACCACAGAUGUGGUGCGUGAUGUUUCCUCCUUCGUAUUUGAGUGGGCAGCGAAGGAUUAGGAAGGGCAUGUGGGAUGUGUAUUUUGGUGACUAAUCUUCUAGAAGGCCAAGUGUGGGAAACAUGAGUCAAGUAUUUGCUUAAAAGGGUGAGUUUGACCAAUGUGGGAGAGUGGCAGAGUAGCCUAUGAGUUUAAUGGCAUGAUAACUAUAUGCCCUGAGGAAACGUUCAGAGAGAUUUGGGAAUUUUAGUGGAUAGUGGUUGGGUCCACGAGCUUAAUUUGAAGUAUUGGAUAUUAUACGAUUGGGGAUUGGAUCCAAUAUAAAUAAGUUGUUUGGCAUGAGGAAGAAUGCAACAUAACCUUGAAGGAAGAUAUUUUCGUGUAUUUAGUUGAUGUCCAUAAGGGAUGAACAUGCUAGUACAAUUGGUGGACGAGCAUAGGCUCAAGGUGGGUUAUCUGUGUCAUAGUGAUUGUACCCCCAUGAAGCGAUGUUGGAGGAUGACGUCAUGUAAUAUCUAUAGGUGGGUUAUCUCCUGUGAGUAGGUCAGUGGUCACGUGGUUGGCAAAGCUUCUGCAAAGGAUUUUAUUGGCUAUCCAGUAAGAGAUUAAAUGUAUGGAUAUGGUUAGUGAUCUAGAUAGUUCAUGAAAGGCCAAACAGAAGGGUAUCGAGUAGUUUGGCAAGUUGGUUGUGCAUGAUCAGGUCGACGAUGAAGAAAUUGAUGGGUUCUAGAGAUAUCUAACAGAUGGCCCCAAGCUAAGUGGGAGAGUCCUACCGCCUACGAUUGGGUUGCAUGGUUAUUUGCUUGUGAGGUUCGUGUUAUCACCGUAUUGGUAUGUUGUUAAAACUAAAGAAAAACAACUUAAGUGAUAAUUUAAGUGGAGGAAUUGAUAAAUGUGUGCUAUAGUUGGCGUUAUUGACUCAUGUUCAGGCUUUGGAAAGAUUCAGGAUUUAUGUUUCGUAUAGAGGUGAUUUACAAGGGAAAUGAUUCAGUCGAGUGCUUCAUUGAGAUGGGUGUUCAUAUGUCAGCGGAGCCUUGGAGUUUAUUAUAUUCGGGACUAAGAGAAAAUGGGUGACUCUCAACAACGGUCUUAGUGAAUUCAAAGGUUAAAAUGUGGUACCCAAGGAUUCAAGCCCGUAGUAUGGUUAAAAACCGAGCUUCUGUAGCAGAUUAUGAUAAAAGCCUCGGAAUGUUCUAUGAUAUUUUCUACUUGCAGUGUAGUAUUGGGAGAAAAAAAAAGAUUUCGGAUUCGUAGAGGAAUUAUGAGAAUGGGUGUAUCAGUUGAAGAUGCGAAUGUAUGUGUAAUGAGGGUAUAAAACGGUUCAUGGGUUUGGAGACAAUGUGGUAAGGUAAAAUGGGGUCACUCAAGAUGAGUGCGGAUUUAGGUUGGUGAUGUAAGGAAUGGAGUUAUUAUUAUCUCUAAGACAAGUUAAGGAUCAAUUAGAAGAAGUUAGAUUGGUUAGUCAUGGUUGAAUUGGCAUAAUGGUUGCUGUGAUCAGUUCCUUUAGCGUGAUUAAGUUAUGCAUGAGAUUUGUGGUGGCACGUGCGAGGUUUGACGGCCGCCGUAAUCGAUUUUAUUUGGAAGUAUUCAAGUAUUAUGGACUUUUAUGUGUAGGCAGAUCCCGGAAGGGUCAUGGUGGUUUAUACCACUACUCGAGGAUUUGAAUGUUCUGCAAUUAUGAGAAUUCACUCGCGUGUUGCUAUGGUUAUCUUGGAAUGAGUUAAUUAAAAAGUUUCUAUGUGAUGAAGUGUUCACCCUAAUAGUGGUUCAGGAGUUAUGAUGAAAUUCUUGUACUAUCGCAUAUUGGCGUGUUAGGUGUACUGAGCAAUAUGAAAUUUUAAAGUGAUGAUCGAGAUUGUCGCUCGAUUAUGAUAAGGAUGUCACAAACUCGAAUAAAGCAAGAAGGGGAUUUGAAUGUUUGGAGUAAAAUGAUAUCGUCUUCAGCGUCCUGAGAUCGGCAUUUUAUGUUAGAGGCUUUAUAUCUUGGUUACGGAUUCUUGAUAUGCUUUACAACAUUAAUGUGACCUCUGGUAUGAAUGUGCAGACUUGUUAUCUAACGCGGAAGGUCGUGGGAGCAUAUCUCACGGGAAGAUUGUAUAAGUGUAACAUGUAGUCACUUGAUUGAUUGAAGAUUUAAAUCAAGUGUGAAGAUUAUGGUAGUAUCACUAAUUUGAGAAUUUAUGCCUAGAGGGUACUCGGUUUAUUGGAUUAUGGACUGUGGAGGUUUGCUCCGGAUAUGAGGUUUGUUCUUGUGAGCAUGGGAAAAAAGGGUUAUAUGGACCCUUGAAAGGUUAUUAGCCUAGUACAAUGUGCAGUCAGAAUCGGCUCAAGGUCGAUGGGUGGAUUUAAAAAUGAAUAUGGGCUCUAUAUCAGUCCAGAUGUGUUCAUUUCAGCAUAGCACUCCUUAUGGAGAAGUAUUCGAACGUUGGAAGUUAUCUCGUCAGGGGCUAUUUCAUGUAAUAUUAUAGUGUGUCAUGUGAUUUGUGAAACGACUUGAUAAUUUUCUUAUGUGUUGAGAUUCCACGUAGCGAUGGUGUUAUGUUGGCAAGAUGGCUCUUGAGAUUCAAAUCAUAUAUCGUACCCAUUUGUGCUUGAGUUUUGUAGCGUAUGGCACUAUUUGUCUCUCCAGGGAUGGUAUUAUGAACUUCGUGUGCUUGUGGACAUUGUUCGAUAUUUUGUAGUAAUGAGCACUCUAGCUCAAUAUGUAUCUCCUUAUAUAGAUUUUAUGUGUGGAUCGAGUGGCACGCCGCCAUAGGUAUGUUGAUGGGAUCGGGUUGCACACCGCAAUAGUGUGAUAUUGAGUAUAACCUUGCAUUCUAUUUUGUGUGUUUUGUCUCCUAUUGUUUUCUGAGGAUGGUUUAUAACACCUUUUCGGUUGUCUAAUUAGUUGUGAAAGUUGAGUAGUCCCUUCCCGAGUUCGUUUUCCUUAUGUAUCACGUUCAUGUCUGUAGCCUAUUAGCACACUGUGGCAUCAUGUGAGACAUUUUGGUCAUGUCUGGGCUGACUUGUUUCCUGAGCAACUCAUACUAGGUGAGACGAGAUUAUUGGAUCUAGGAUCAACGCGAUUGGAUUAUAUGAAGCAUAUUAAAUAGCAAUUACCAUUAUUUGGUUCAGAAUGAGGUAAUGGUUUUUAUCAGGAGUAUAAACUCAAUAAGUUGUUGACUCGGCAGUUGGUUGUGAAUUUCUACACGUCUCUUCCAUCGUAGUAGUAUUGUAAGUGUUGGAACAAGACUUAUAUAUGUAAUGAGGUACAUUGUGAGCAUCAGAUCUGGGAAAUGCUAGUUAUUAUGAUUAGAGAAUGGUAUUAUGGUCCUGUGAAUGAUGCGGAGCGUGGUGAGAAUUCAGCAAAGGUAUGCAUUCAUGUUCUGGUACAUCAUGUAAUGAUUGAUACGAUGUUCAUAUAUUGGAAGCAGGCCUGGCAGAGAAUUUCGGAUGUUGAAACUGGGCUCUAAGGCUCAUAUUCCUAAAUAAAAGAGGAUAUCUUCAGAUUUGAUUGAGCUAAUGUUUUCAACUGAGUUAUUGUAGCCCGGGUAGGUGCACGAGGGGUUAUACAGUAAUUUUGGUCAACUUCACUGUAGUUCUCGGCAUGUUCUAGGACGAAUGUAUGUUUAAGUGGGAGAGAAUGUAAUGAUCCGACCGGUCAUUUUGAGCUCUAGCGCAUCGUUCAGUAGUUUGAGCCCAUGAGUAGAUACACUUCAGGUAUUAUCACUUGCAUGCAUGGUCGAAAUUGAAUUUUGGAAGUUCGGAGUUGAUUCAGAAAGAAAAAUCUUAUUUCAGAAGCUUUAAGUUGGAAGAAUUGACUAAAGUGCAAUUUUUUAGUAACGACCUUAGAAUUGGAAUUUGAAGUUCAAAAAUGUUCGUAUGACACCUAUUGUGGAAGCUAGAAUUUUGGAAGAAUUUCAUAAAUUUGGGUUGAAGUGCAUUUAUAUUUUAUCAAUGUCAGUUUGAGAUUCCAAGUCUGGGGAUAGCUCCGCAUGGUGAUUCUGGUAUUGGGAGCACGUCCAUAAGUCGAUUCGGAUGUCCGUAGGUCAUUUCGGAGUCAUUUGGCGAAAGUUAUUAGUUGAAGAUUUUUGGAAAGUUUGAUCAGGAGUGGACUUUUUGAUAUCGGGGUCGAAUUCUGAUUCUGGAAGUUGGAGUAGGUCCGCAAUGUCGAAUGGGACUUUUCUGCAAAAUUUGAUGUACAUGGAUGUGAUUUGAUAGGUUUUUGCUUCGAAUAUAGAAAUUGGAAUUUCUUAGUUUCAUUAUACUCGAAUUGGCGUUUGAUUUGGGUUUUGGGGGUUGUUUAUAGUGAUUUGAGGCCUCGACUAAGUCUGUGAUAUAUUUUAAGACUUGUUGGUAUGUUUGGAGUUGUCCCGAGUGGCUCAGGUGAGUUUCGGGAUGGUUUCAGACCAUUUCAAGGGUUUUUUAGAUGGUGGAUUUUGGCUACAACAGUUGUAUGCGAUCCCGGGGAAAUGGUCGUGAUCGUGAUGAUUAAAGUCGGAGAAAAUGGCCUGUGCUUCGCGAUCUAGUGGAAGAAGGUCUCUGUUGCAUGGACCCGACUUUGGAAGCUUGUAUCUUGUAAUCUAUAAGGAAUUUGGAUAUGAUCAAAAUGAAAAUUGUAGCCAAGUAGCCAUUUAUGUCUAGUUUUCAGAAUAUUAAACCAUUUGGCAUUUGGAGAUGAGUACAAUAUGUUUUGUAUGGUACACUACAUCCUAUUUGGGAAGAGUUUGGAAAUCACGAAGAAAAAAUUUGUGUUGCAUAGGGAUGAUUUUCAAAGCUAAUAUCUCAUAAUAUAUAAGGAAAAAGGAGAUGAUCUAAGAAUGCAAUUAUUAUUCCUUGGAGUCUAGUUUUCAAAAAGUUAAACCAUUUGCAAUUUGUAGUUUUAUACAAAAGGUUAUAGCCAAUAUAAUAGGGACUGCCUGGAAGAGCUAGUUUGUUCUCUGCGAUCACGAAGCAUUUUACACUAUCACAAAGAGCAAAUUUUGGGCUGAGAAAUUUUGUGCUUUGCGAUCGCGCAACAUUUUCUGUGGUCGCAUAGAAUAAACACCUGGGCAGAAGCUAUAUUUCAAGGUUUCGACCAUUUUUAUCAUAUUCGAAGCUGUGGAGCUCAGAUUGAAGCGAAAUUUUAGGCGAUUUUCACCAUAUGGAUUGGAGUAAGUAUUCUAUAUCCACGAGUAAUUAUACUUCAUCAUUCUAUGGUUAUAUUCAUCAUUUAUUUCGAAUUUAAAUGGAGAAAAUCAAAAAAUUUGCAAAACUUUUCAAGAACGAAAAUUUAAGAUUAGGAGAGCAAGUUGUUAUUAGAAUUUGAUAAAAUUCGUGUGGUUGAACUCAUAUAGAAUGAGUUGUCAGAUUUUUUUAGUUUUUUUUUAGAAUCCAGGAACGUUGGCCCGAGGGCGAUUUUGUCAACUUUUUGAGCGAUCUGGGGAAUUUAUCUAAAUUGAAUUUUUGUGAGUAUUAGAGCAUAUAUUUAUGGAUUUUCCAAUUUAUUGGCUAGUUUUGGAGCGCUGUGCAUCAAUUUGAGACGUUGGAAGGGCUUGGAAGCCGGUUAAGGAACUUUGAAGCGACGUAAGUCUCCUUUCUAACCUUGAGAUGGAAUUAUCCCCAUCGGUGAACAAAAAUAUUAUGCGCUUCUACUUGUGGGGGCUACGUAUGCACGAGUUAAUGAAAGUCCGUACGUAGCUACUUGCUAUGCCUAUGUCCAGGUAGUUUUAGGCUUGCAUCAUGCUUUAUUGAUAUUGUUGUUAAUUUAUGUUACCGUUCUCUUGAGAAGAAACAAGAAUAGGUUUUGUAAUAAUUCCAUUGAAAAAAAUUUGAAUUGAGGAAUUUAAAAUUUUAAGUGUUUCCAUUAAACUUUAUAUUUUCGAAAGAAUUUAGAAAUAUUAUAAUAACUUAAGAAAUCUAUGUGUAAUCGCGUCGCAUGUGCACAUUGCGAGCGGGGAAAAUCUCUUUAAAAGAUUCACGUUGAAUUCUCCAUAUUUUGAAAUGGAAUCAAGAAAAGGGAUUUUGAUUAUCAAAAAGUUAUAUAUGACCGCAUCGCACAUAUGAGUCGUGAGCAGGGUAUUUCCUUCUACUAUUCUUAUGGGAUCGGGUCGUUUUCCUCGGCAGGAUUUAUGUACCACACUCCCAUGGGAGUGUGCCAUUUGCCUCUGCAGCUUAAUAGAUGCAUCUACAGUUCGCAUCGUUCAACCCUCGGCAGUGCGUAAUUUAUUUUUACGUUGGAACGGGCUAUACGACUCGGCAUUACUCGACAUUUCCUAUAUAUACACAUUAGUCUUAUGGACUUCGUGCGUAAUAUUUGUCUAGAAGUCGGUGUAACAUACGGAUUUUCCCUGAUUUUAUUUAUGACAACCUCUUGAUGAUAUCCAUUAUAUCUAUUGUCACACCUCCUUUUUCACUUACACCUCCGCAAGGAUGGGGCGUAAAGGAGUUUUUUCAAUUAAAGGACAAUCGGAACAGGAUUUAUUAUUAUUUAUUCAGACUCGCCACUUGGGAGAUUAAUGGUGUCCCAAGUCACCGAUUGAAUCCCGAAUCAAGGAAAAAGAUGACUCUGUUAACAGUCUGCGAAACAGAAAUCCGAGAAAAGAAUUUAACCCGGGAGAAGGUGUUAGGCAUUCCCGAGUUCCGUAGUUCUAGCACAGUUUCUCAACUGUUAUUUGAUUUUAAUACAUGCUAGCUUAUGUUCCUUUUAUUUAUAUACCGAUUUUGCCAUUAUUUAUUUUGAAAGACUUGCGACGUCGUGAAAGCGUAUUUCUAACCACGUCACGACCAGUGUACACGUGAUCGUCAAAACGUUUCGGCUUCGUCGAGAUUUGGAUUUGGGUCGCAUCAAUGCACACCCGAGUUUAGGAAGAUAAUAUUAUUAAAUGACGAGCCCAAAGCGUCUAACGCGUUAUUAUUUUGCGAGGACCAUGAAAUUUGCUAAAUGGAACGCCUCGAAUUUUAAGUAUUUUUAAAGACAUAAUUAAAGAGGGCCAAAUAUUUAUAAUUUUAUUUGGCACGGCGUACCUCGAUUCUAAAGAACUUGUACAUAAACGGAGCAAUCACGGAUAUUCUUGAUUUCCUGAAAUUAUUGCGAAGUCCAGAAUAAGGAUUCUAUAAGUGAACAUAAUAGCAUUCGACUACUUUACUUAAAUGUGACAUCAACUUUACUGAAUAACUUUUAAUUGAAACUUGAAAGCUUGCACAAAAGAAAAGAUGUGACACCAAUGCCACUAUAUUUUCAAAUUGACGAAAAGUUGACCACAAAACACAGUGACCGAAGGAACCAGCGUUACAACCAAAAAUCAUAUACGAAUUAGUGAUAUUCCAUUUAUAGAUAUUUUCUACUUAGAUCUCACAUGCUGAACGCAAGAACAGAACAUGAUUCCAAUAAGCAUACCAUUUUAUGCACACCUCAUUUCUUCAAAUACAAAAUCAUUAACAUCCAAUAUAGGUGGAAGUUGCUCAAUAUUAGUGGAACAAAUACAACCCAGACCGUAACCCCCAUCUAAAUAUCAAUUUAUUAGCUUAAACAGCUUGGUGGUUAAUUUAAACAAGCAUUUAUGUCAUAACAAUGAUUGAAGGUGUGAACUAACCAAAUUUAAAGAAUAAUCAAACAGAUCUAGAAUAUCCCACAUAACAAACAAAUUAGUGAAUAGACUACAUAAUAUCGUGAAAUUUAAUUAUAAAUUAUAACAAUUACAUUAUCUAAGACUGAGACACAUACCUUAAUAGCAAGAAACAGAAUUAGCAAAACCAAACAAAGACUAAGAACAUCCAUAAACUAAAGCUCGGCUCAUAAUCGGAAUCGGAGAUGCGAACAAGAUCUCGACGGCGGUGGAAACUCAACAAUGAACGGGCUGAAAACAAGCCAUUUGUGACUACUUUUACGGGUUAUUGAGGUCGAUUUUGAGCAAAUCUCAUGGUUGUUGCUAGGUGCCGGAUUUCGAAAGAAGAAGAAACAGUGGCGGAAAAAGGUGUGGAGAAGAGGGACUGUUUCGUUGGUAUGAGGGUGGUUGUCGACGAAUAGCAGCUGGACACCGGAGGCGACGUGGAGGGGCUGUUGGCUUGAUUAUGGCUGUGUAUCUCUUCUCCAAAAUGAAGAAGAAAGCUACAGUAGGUAGCUGCGUAUUUUUUCCCUCUCCCUUUCCAGAUUGUUUUAGCAUUAUAUUAUAGCUAGAGUCUAGGUCUAGGGUUCAUUGGAGUUUUUAGUUUGGCUUGUGUGGGAAUUGGGUAAGGAAAUUGUUGUUUGAGUUGGUUUUGGCUUUAAAAAAAAAAAGGGCCAAUUUUUUAAUUUAAAAUCACAUUGCA